GUCUAAUGCUAACACUUCGUUCGGUUUAGCAGGAAACAGUUGACUCAUUGGCACACAGACUUUCUGUUCUGUCAUUCUGGCAAGGGCACAGGGCUUGCAGCGCUGACACCACUCUUUUACCUUGUGUUCCAUGGAGAACUCAGCAUUCUUGUUGAUGCGGCCUGAGCGAUAACAGUGUGCUUAAAAGCAGAUAAUAUGGCAACCAAUCACUGCUCUGGAGCACCCAUUUUAGCCAUCUCCAAGUGGCUCAAGAAGCUGUUGACUGUCCAAACCACACAUGACUGACCACACAAGUACUCCCUGAAUCUUUUGGUGACUGCCCCUUUUAUAGAAUCUCCAUUUUCAUGGCGCUAUAGUCAUUUUCAGCUGGAUAUAGGCUCCGGUUGAUAUAUGCCCUGCCACCCUGUUCCUGAGACAACACAUCUAAGCCGCUAUGGCCACCAUCAACCUCCAGGAUGAAGGGAAGCAAGAAGUAGGCAAAAGUAAAAGUGGGAGCACUUACUAGACAAGUCUUUAAUUUUAUUUCUGCGCAGCAUUCCAUCCAGCUGGGUUCUCAUCCCUAUCUAUGUCCCCUUUGCCCCAUCCAUCUCAGCAGCCAACCAAUGCAAAGGGGCAUCCAGCUUUGUACAGAGCCCCUGUAGUAGCUUGGGAAGCCUAGGAAGGACCUGAAUUCAGACAUUGGUGGGGCCAGUCACCGACCAGAGGUCUUGCUUGGAUCAGUUGAGACUCUGUCCUGGGAGAUGAGCAGGCAGCAGUGACUACAUCCAUCUCUAUCACAGAGCUGGAGAUGAGGCCGUCUUGCCCUGUAACAGUGUGAAUUCAUCUGAAACAUCAUGCUCCAGGAUCAACUGGCUGCACAGCAAAAACAGUUCUGCCCCUGAUUCCAUUGUUCGUGAUGGAGAGAUUAAGAAAAGUUCACCUCAAGCUGCUAAACUGAGUCUGGGCUGUAGAUGCUCUUUGACCAUCAGAAACAUCUCCUCUGUGGACGCAGGACUUUACAGCUGUCG
RNAcentral lists this long non-coding RNA (1007 nucleotides) under Gouania willdenowi (blunt-snouted clingfish). Its description in RNAcentral is "lncRNA (ENSGWIG00000006510.1)". The record is from RNAcentral. Lineage: Eukaryota; Metazoa; Chordata; Actinopteri; Blenniiformes; Gobiesocidae.